UUGAAGCCAUUUUCAGCAGCUACCCUGAUAGUCAGAUUACUCCUCUGAGUCCUAUUCUCCCUUCAUCUAUGGCUGUCACCAUAAUGACCAAGACACAUCCAGUACAAGUCAGCUGGGAACAACCUGAAAUGAAUGCUAACGGUGGGGAUGCCUCUAUACCCAACGCUUCCUGCUUCCAGUACAGAACCUGUUGGGUUCAGUAUACAGCCCAUGAUGAAGCUGGAAACACAGCCUUUUGCCAGUUUAAAGUAAUCAUCAAAAGUGUUACAGAACAAACCAGCCUCUGCACAGAUAAAUCUCUUCGGUGGAGAUUUGGCAGAACACCGUGUUGAGAGGAACUCCACCUAGACUGGUGGAAUGAAGACAACAGAUACGUUUACCUUAGUCUCCACUCUGCUGCCAGCUUGUGAUGGAACAAAAAAUUUGGCUUCCUAACAUAAGCAAGUACUAAUAAUGUUUUAUUAGAAGGCAGAUUCAUGAGACAAGAAAUAGGAAUAUGAAGCUUUUCAUUAAAUAAUUGUAAGUGCAGCCAUCUUAUAAUAAGUCACCUAUGCAAGCUUCCUCCAGAAAUUUAACACUCUACUAUGCAUUAAAAAUGUAAGUAUUAAAUAAGCAAAUACUUAAAAACUGAAUAAUUGUUAGUAACUCUAUGUAAUGACUUUCUCCCUGGGUUAAUAUUUAAUUAACACACAGUUAAGACAUCUGUGAAAGCCCGGUUUAGAUCAGCUUUGUUUUUUCCAUACUACAGCACAAGAGAUCUGAAUAAAUGUAGUAAUAUUUUAUUGAUCACAAACAUAACACUUCCUUUCAGCAAUUAAAGUACAUGAUAAUUCAUAUGAACAAAGUGAAAACAAAGCACAACCAAAAAAUAAGUUCACAUUUUUUCCAUUUCAUUCUUAGUGUAAGCAAUAAAUACAAUGCUGAUAGCUUCUAUUAAUCUUAUUUACAUAGGACAAUACUUGACUGUUUCCUGGUUUCCAGCCCAAAUGUUUCAUGACAUGAAAAGGAGCAUGUGUUCAAGCAUUUCUACAGUCAAAUACUCUAGUAGAUCAUCACAAUGAAAAAAUACAUAGCAUAAAUGCUAACAUUAAACAAAACAACCAAACAAACAACUGAGAGGCCCCUGCAAUGGAGCUUUUUAUUAACUGAAGACAGUAGCAUUAAAAAUAGACAUUCCCUCUCAUAGAAUACUGACAUGCUGGUAUUACAGAUACCACACAGAAGACAAGUAUUGCUGUAGCCCCUGUAGAUUGAUACAGUAAAUCCUCACUAAAUAACAAAAAAAUAAAGAGCAAAUAACAACAGAUAACUGUUUGCAUGUUCAAAGGAAUCUCACAGCCCCACCAAAACUGAGUUUACUUCCAUCCCAGAGAAUGCAGAUAAGGAAUACAACCUUCUGUAAAGCAGAAAAUGAGCCAUAAGCAACCAGCAAAAAGGAUUUGAUUUUUAUCUGUUGUGACAGGAAAACAUUUUAAGAAGCAGACCCUUCUCUUGGUUGUGUAGGAACUGAAAAAGGUGAGGUAGGAAGACAACAUAAAGGAUUUAUAUUUUCCAAUGAAAAAUAGGAAAUAGGUUAGUUAACCUCAUGAGGAGGGGGGAAAUGUAGUUCUCCCAUGCCAUGUAACCCUCUAUGGCCACAAAUGCUUUCUUGCACACCCAGCUGGAUGUGUGUUUCUUUCCCAAAGCAAAGACGGAUGUGUGCCUAGAAGCAUGCUGUGAUUGUCUGCCUGGAAGUAGGACAAUUUCUGCGCAAAAAACGAUUUUCCCUCCUAAAUUACCAUUACAAGUUUCUCUAGCAGAGUACAGGGAGCAAUUAGCAACUAGUACUUAGCAUUAAGUGAUAAAUUUUUUAUUAAGGUGUUAAAUUUGAACGGCCCGAGAAGGAAGCUUAAUUCAAAAUCUAAUAUUGUAUCACGCUCUAAAUCAUCACAACAUUACAACCACCCACCAGCUACCACUGAAAUAAUUGCCUGAUAAUAUGCCAUAAAGGACUGCAAAGCCCUUUUAAAUGGACAGAUAUCUGCCUGGGCUUUGGUUCUCAGCUGGGACCCCUUGAUUCUGAAAAGGGAACUCAAGACAGAUUUAUACCUGUUGAUGAUCUGGUCCUCCAAGUGUAAAGCUGCUAUACCACGGCAGGGAUUUUCUGCACCACUAAUAUUUUUUGAACAUUGCACAGAUUUUAAGUAACACUACACAGGUAAGCAAGCAGAGUUGUAGGUAACCUCUAAUCAUGUUGUAGCAGAUACCGUUACUGUAUUCUUGCAAUUUAAGAGAUUAUGACAUCUGAUUGCCAGAUUUCACACUAUUCUAAAGUAGGGAAUCCAAUUCCCACCAAUCAAACAGAUAGCCUUGCAGAAGAGCAGAAGUCUUGAUUUGCGCAUCCUAGCUGAGGUUCUGUAUUAUGAAACUAAAUCAUUAAUAAAACACUUUCUAAAUGCAAACUCCAGACAUAAGAACUGUAAAAAGCUACAGAAAGGUGCAAGUGGCGUGAACUUACCGCAUCCCCCUAAUGUUUUCCUUCUAAAUACAAAGCAUUUAAAGCCUUAUGAAGUCACAAACCAAUAAACACUGUGACAGCGAAUUAACUAGAGCUAAUGAAGCUUACAGACAGGCUACUGACAUAAAUGUUUAAAUGUUAAAAUCAAGUUGUUAAUAUAAAAAAUUAAGUAUUUAAAAUGGAAGUGGUCUUAGAAAGAACUGUCAUUGGUUUUUUUUUUGACUGGCUCACAUGCAUCAGCUAUACAUUAAUCAGCGUAAUAGU
Phalacrocorax carbo (great cormorant) is the source of this 2761-nucleotide non-coding RNA. The record is from RefSeq and is a predicted model, not a curated record. Lineage: Eukaryota; Metazoa; Chordata; Aves; Suliformes; Phalacrocoracidae.